Molecule: long non-coding RNA, 764 nt
Filed under: Struthio camelus australis
Lineage: Eukaryota; Metazoa; Chordata; Aves; Struthioniformes; Struthionidae
Description: lncRNA (ENSSCUG00000015074.1)
Source: RNAcentral
AAAUCCACAGGCUGACAAAUUCUUUUCUUCUUUUUGCCGGUGCCUUUUAUUUUCGAAGAAAGAAAAAAAAACCCCACUGGCGCAAAUGGGAACCCAUAAGCUGUAAAGUUAAAGACAAGUCGACUUCCGUUGUCAUUUGCUGCUCCGAGUGCAAAUGAGGAUUCGUCGAAGCCAUGCUUGUCUCACUGAUGCUUUCUCCUACAGCCUGCUCCUGUCUUGGUUUUUCGCACAAAACAAGAAAGGAAAAAAAUUAAGGGUAAGGUCCCCUUUUCCAAGUGGCCAGAAUUGCAGUGCAAAAUGCAUAGUGAAUGUAAGUCUUUCCCGAAUUGCAUGUCUGCGAUGCCGGGCAAAAACACCUUUAAAUAGCUUAAGUUACUACUAAGCCAAACACUGUGAAAUGGUUUUUAUGGCAAUUGACGACGAUUUUAAACUGCGUCUCCACAAGAAUACUGGCAUGCAUGUUACAGUUAUUUCCCCUCUUUAAAACCAAAGGCAGUAACCAUUUGAGGAAUUCGGACUAAUCCAAACUUUAAGGGGAACAUUUUCCCCCAUUGUGUGAAGCCUUUAACGAGCUGGGAUUUAAUUGGGGUCUGAACUUUGAAUGCGUGUAUUUUUUCCCUAUUGGCAGGGGGCAUGUUUGCAAACAGAUCUUUAACUUAUAGCUAUAAAACCGUGCGGCGUCCGGGGGGCCAGGCUGUGUAACCGUGUGUGCGUGCGUGCCGCUGCUCAACGCUUCCCCUUUCCGCCGCACUCCCCCUCCCCGC